This 662-nucleotide ribosomal RNA is filed under the name Heterobasidion linzhiense. Its description in RNAcentral is "eukaryotic LSU rRNA". It matches the Rfam family "Eukaryotic large subunit ribosomal RNA", at positions 170 to 816 of the family's 3401-position model. Lineage: Eukaryota; Fungi; Basidiomycota; Agaricomycetes; Russulales; Bondarzewiaceae. The record is from RNAcentral.
UCGGACCGUGUAUAAGUUUCCUGGAACGGAGCGUCAUAGAGGGUGAGAAUCCCGUCUUUGACACGGACUGCCGAUGCUUUGUGAUGCGCUCUCGAAGAGUCGAGUUGUUUGGGAAUGCAGCUCAAAAUGGGUGGUGAAUUCCAUCUAAAGCUAAAUAUUGGCGAGAGACCGAUAGCGAACAAGUACCGUGAGGGAAAGAUGAAAAGCACUUUGGAAAGAGAGUUAAACAGUACGUGAAAUUGUUGAAAGGGAAACGAUUGAAGUCAGUCGCGUCCGCCGGGACUCAGCCUUGCAUUCUUGCUCGGUGUACUUUCCGGUGGACGGGCCAGCAUCAAUUUUGAUCGUCGGAAAAGGAUCGGGGAAAUGUGGCACCUUUCGGGGUGUGUUAUAGUCUCCGGUCGCAUACGACGGUUGGGAUUGAGGAACUCAGCAUGCCUUUACGGUCGGGGUUCGCCCACGUUCAUGCUUAGGAUGCUGGCGUAAUGGCUUUAAACGACCCGUCUUGAAACACGGACCAAGGAGUCUAACAUGCCCGCGAGUGUUCGGGUGGAAAACCCGUGCGCGUAAUGAAAGUGAAAGUUGGGACCUCUGUCGCGGAGGGCACCGACGCCCGGACCAGAACUUCUGUGACGGAUNUGCGGUAGAGCGUGUAUGUUGGGACC